RNAcentral lists this non-coding RNA (31 nucleotides) under Mus musculus (house mouse). The record is from RNAcentral. Lineage: Eukaryota; Metazoa; Chordata; Mammalia; Rodentia; Muridae.
UGAGUGCAUUCACAUGUAUCUUUCUGAAAUG